GAUGAAGAACGUAGCGAAAUGCGAUAAGUAGUGUGAAUUGCAGAAUUCAGUGAAUCAUCGAAUCUUUGAACGCACAUUGCGCCCCUUGGUAUCCCGAGGGGCAUGCCUGCUCGAGCGUCAUUUCACCACUCAAGCCUGGCUUGGUGUUGGGCGACGUCCUCUUUGGGGACGCGCCUCGAAACGCUCGGCGGCGUGGCACCGGCUUUAAGCGUAGCAGAAUCUUUCGCUUUGGAAGUCGGGGCCCCGUCUGCCGGAAGACCUGCUCGCAAGGUUGACCUCGGAUCAGGCAGGGAUACCCGCUGAACUUAAGCAUAUCAAUAAGCGGAGGA
Molecule: unclassified non-coding RNA, 329 nt
Filed under: soil metagenome
Description: partial contains 5.8S ribosomal RNA, internal transcribed spacer 2, and large subunit ribosomal RNA
Rfam family: 5.8S ribosomal RNA (bases 1-120)
Source: RNAcentral